Molecule: ribosomal RNA, 504 nt
Filed under: uncultured bacterium
Lineage: Bacteria
Description: partial 16S ribosomal RNA
Rfam family: Bacterial small subunit ribosomal RNA
Source: RNAcentral
AUUGAACGCUGGCGGCAGGCCUAACACAUGCAAGUCGAACGGUAGCACAGAGAGCUUGCUCUCGGGUGACGAGUGGCGGACGGGUGAGUAAUGUCUGGGAGACUGCCCGAUGGAGGGGGAUAACUACUGGAAACGGUAGCUAAUACCGCAUAACGUCGCAAGACCAAAGUGGGGGACCUUCGGGCCUCACACCAUCGGAUGUGCCCAGAUGGGAUUAGCUAGUAGGUGGGGUAAUGGCUCACCUAGGCGACGAUCCCUAGCUGGCCUGAGAGGGUAACCAGCCACACUGGAACUGAGACACGGUCCAGACUCCUACGGGAGGCAGCAGUGGGGAAUAUUGCACAAUGGGCGCAAGCCUGAUGCAGCCAUGCCGCGUGUAUGAAGAAGGCCUUCGGGUUGUAAAGUACUUUCAGCGGGGAGGAAGGCGGUGAAGUUAAUAGCUUCACCGAUUGACGUUACCCGCAGAAGAAGCACCGGCUAACUCCGUGCCAGCCGCCGCCGUAA